This 476-nucleotide ribosomal RNA is filed under the name uncultured bacterium. RNAcentral describes it as "bacterial SSU rRNA". It matches the Rfam family "Bacterial small subunit ribosomal RNA", at positions 26 to 518 of the family's 1533-position model. The record is from RNAcentral.
UACAGGACGAACGCUGGCGGCGUGCUUCAUACAUGCAAGUCGAACGUGAAGCUGACUUCGGUCAGUGGAAAGUGGCGGACGGGUGAGUAAUAUGUAGAGAAUCUGCCCUUGAGUGGGGGACAACAGAGGGAAACUUCUGUUAAUACCCCAUAUGAGCUUAGUUGAAAUACUAAUCUUGAAAAACUCCGGUGCUCAAGGAUGAGUCUGCAUCUGAUUAGCUUGUUGGCGGUGUAAUGGACCACCAAGGCGACGAUCAGUAGCUGGUUUGAGAGGAUGAUCAGCCACAAUGGGACUGAGACACGGCCCAUACUCCUACGGGAGGCAGCAGUAGGGAAUUUUGCGCAAUGGGCGAAAGCCUGACGCAAGCAACGCCGCGUGAACGAUUAAGCCCUUCGGGGUGUAAAGUUCUGUCAGCAGGGACGAAUCUUGACGGUACCUGCAGAGGAAGCACCGGCUAACUCCGUGCCAGCAGCUGC